UUUCAAACUCUUUAACGUGGUACUUGAUGUAACGAUCCAUGGUGGUGACUUCCAUCAUCUUGGUAGCGUCGACUUGUCCAAGUCUCUCGAUAUAAACAGGUCUUCCUUCUUUAUCCACACCGUGAUGGCCAUGAGGGUAGUAUUUAAGAACUUCAUUUUUUUCACCGAACUGGAAAUCAUCCAUGAUUGUCUCCGUCCCAAAUUCUUUCCUCCAACGCAACAUAUCAGACCACAUCGGUUUUGCUCUAUCCACGUCGAAUUUCCUUGCCUUGAGAAAUCGGAGCAUCAUAUGGUAGUCGUCGUAUUUCGAAGGCAACAGUUCGUCAAGCAAAAGUAUCUGCCGGAAAGAGUCCACUGCAUGAACGUCUUCCGGUUUACGUACGUCCAAGAUUGUCGGAACCGUCGAUGCCACUUUGCUGUUCCUUUUACCAAUUCGGAAUGAAUGUCGGAAUUUCGCAGAGGCAUCAAGGGCUUUCUUCUUUAAACAUUGCAUUCGGGUCCUGUGUUUUUCAUCUUCAGAAUCCUCCUCGUCGGAUUUAUGGAGAUUGUGUGAUUCAAUCAUUUCUUCG
Molecule: long non-coding RNA, 569 nt
Filed under: Zostera marina
Lineage: Eukaryota; Viridiplantae; Streptophyta; Magnoliopsida; Alismatales; Zosteraceae
Description: long non-coding RNA (ZMAR_LNC002958)
Source: RNAcentral